GACGAACGCUGGCGGCGUGCUUAACACAUGCAAGUCGAACGGUAAGGCUCCAGCUUGCUGGGGUACACGAGUGGCGAACGGGUGAGUAACACGUGGGUGACCUGCCCUGCACUUCGGGAUAAGCCUGGGAAACUGGGUCUAAUACCGGAUAGGACCGCACCGUGAGGGUGUGGUGGAAAGUUUUUUCGGUGUGGGAUGGGCCCGCGGCCUAUCAGCUUGUUGGUGGGGUAAUGGCCUACCAAGGCGGCGACGGGUAGCCGGCCUGAGAGGGUGGACGGCCACAUUGGGACUGAGACACGGCCCAGACUCCUACGGGAGGCAGCAGUGGGGAAUAUUGCACAAUGGGCGGAGGCCUGAUGCAGCGACGCCGCGUGGGGGAUGACGGCCUUCGGGUUGUAAACUCCUUUCACCAUCGACGAAGGGUUUCUGACGGUAGAUGGAGAAGAAGCACCGGCUAACUACGUG
RNAcentral lists this ribosomal RNA (465 nucleotides) under uncultured bacterium. RNAcentral's name for it is "partial 16S ribosomal RNA". It matches the Rfam family "Bacterial small subunit ribosomal RNA", at positions 28 to 507 of the family's 1533-position model. The record is from RNAcentral.